This 460-nucleotide ribosomal RNA is filed under the name uncultured bacterium. Its description in RNAcentral is "SSU rRNA". It matches the Rfam family "Bacterial small subunit ribosomal RNA", at positions 26 to 518 of the family's 1533-position model. The record is from RNAcentral.
AGAAUCAACGCUGGCGGCGUGCCUAACGCAUGCAAGUCGAACGAGAAAGUGGAGCAAUCCAUGAGUAAAGUGGCGCACGGGUGAGUAACACGUGACUAACCUACCUUUUAGUGGGGGGAUAACCUAGGGAAAACCUGGGCUAAUACCGCAUAAUACCUACGGGUCAAAGCAGCAAUGCGCUGGAAGAGGGGGUCGCGGCCGAUUAGCUAGUUGGCGGGGUAAUGGCCCACCAAGGCAGUGAUCGGUAUCCGGCCUGAGAGGGCGCACGGACACACUGGAACUGAAACACGGUCCAGACUCCUACGGGAGGCAGCAGUGGGAAUUUUGCGCAAUGGGGGAAACCCUGACGCAGCAACGCCGCGUGGAGGAUGAAGACCCUUGGGUCGUAAACUCCUUUCGAUCGGGACGAUAAUGACGGUACCGGAAGAAGAAGCCCGGCUAACUUCGCGCCAGCAGCCGC